This 1149-nucleotide long non-coding RNA is filed under the name Oncorhynchus mykiss (rainbow trout). RNAcentral describes it as "lncRNA (ENSOMYG00000051040.1)". The record is from RNAcentral. Lineage: Eukaryota; Metazoa; Chordata; Actinopteri; Salmoniformes; Salmonidae.
AUGGUAAAGGACCCUGGGCUCAGCCUGGAGAAUAUCGCCGCCCCAAAGAAGAGCUGGAGGUGGCGAAGGCGGAGAGGCGCUGGUAUGAGGAGGCAGCACGGCGGAUGGAAGCCCGAGAGUCAGCCCCAAAAAUGUCUUGGGGGAGGGCACACAGGGAGUAUGGCGAAGCCAGGUAGGAGACCUGCGCCAACUUCCUGUGCCUACCGGGGGGCUAGAGAGACCGGGCAGGCACUGUGUUAUGCAGUGGAGCGCACGGUGUCUCCAGUGCGGGUGCAUAUCCCGGUGCGGUACAUACCAGCUCCUCGUAUCGGCCGGGCUAGAGUAAGCAUCGAGCCAAGUGUCAUGAAGCCGGCUCUACGCAUCUGGUCUCCAGUGCGUCUCCUUGGGCCGGCUUACCUGGCACCAGCCUUGCGCACAGUGUCCCCGGUUCGCCUGCAUAGCCCAGUGCGGGCUAUUCCACCUCGCCGCACUGGCAGGGUGACCGGGAGCAUUCAACCAGGUAAAGUUGGGCAGGCUCGGUGCUCAAGAGCUCCAGUGCGCCUGCACGGUCCGGUCUAUCCAGUACCACCUCCACGCACCAGCCCUCCGGUGGCAGCUCCCCGCACCAGGCUUCCUGUGCGUGUCCUCGGCCCAGUACCACCAGUGCCAGCACCACGCAUCAGGCCUCUCCAGUGCUGCCAGAGCCUUCCUCCUCUCCAGCGCUUCCGGAGUCUCCCGCCUGUCCAGCGCUGCCAGAGCCUUCCUCCUCUCCAGCGCUGCCGGAGUCUCCCGCCUGUCCAGCGCUGUCAGAGCCUUCCUCCUCUUCAGCGCUGCCGGAGUCUCCCGCCUGUUCAGCUCUACCAGAGACUCCUUCCUGUCCAGCGCUGCCAGAGCCGCCAGUCAGCAUGGAGCAGCCAGAGCCGCCAGUCAGCAUGGAGCAACCAGAGCCGCCAGUCAGCCAGGAUCCGCCAGAUCCGCCAGUCUGCCAGGAUCCGCCAGUCUGCCAGAAUCCGCCAGAGCUGCCAGUCUGCCAGGAUCCGCCAGAGCCGCCAGUCAGCCAGGAUCCGCCAUUCAGCCAGGAUCCGCCAUUCAGCCAGGAUCCGCCAGUCAGCCAGGAUCUGCCAGAGCCGCCAGUCAGCCAGGAUCUGCCAGAGCCAUCAACCUGCCUGA